RNAcentral lists this ribosomal RNA (465 nucleotides) under Vreelandella stevensii. RNAcentral describes it as "partial 16S ribosomal RNA". It matches the Rfam family "Bacterial small subunit ribosomal RNA", at positions 338 to 795 of the family's 1533-position model. Lineage: Bacteria; Pseudomonadati; Pseudomonadota; Gammaproteobacteria; Oceanospirillales; Halomonadaceae. The record is from RNAcentral.
CCUACGGGAGGCAGCAGUGGGGAAUAUUGGACAAUGGGCGAAAGCCUGAUCCAGCCAUGCCGCGUGUGUGAAGAAGGCCUUCGGGUUGUAAAGCACUUUCAGUGGGGAAGAAAGCCUUGGGGCUAAUACCCUCGAGGAAGGACAUCACCCACAGAAGAAGCACCGGCUAACUCCGUGCCAGCAGCCGCGGUAAUACGGAGGGUGCGAGCGUUAAUCGGAAUUACUGGGCGUAAAGCGCGCGUAGGCGGUCUGAUAAGCCGGUUGUGAAAGCCCCGGGAUCAACCUGGGAACGGCAUCCGGAACUGUCAGGCUAGAGUGCAGGAGAGGAAGGUAGAAUUCCCGGUGUAGCGGUGAAAUGCGUAGAGAUCGGGAGGAAUACCAGUGGCGAAGGCGGCCUUCUGGACUGACACUGACGCUGAGGUGCGAAAGCGUGGGUAGCAAACAGGAUUAGAUACCCGGGUAGUC